CGAAUUAUUAUCAUCAUUCCUAGGAGUGGUGGGUUCGUUGUUGAGUAAAUAAAGCAAACCCGCCCAAGAGGCGGGUUUC
This is a non-coding RNA of Marinomonas spartinae, 79 nucleotides long. It matches the Rfam family "Pseudomonas sRNA P9". Rfam says of the family: P9 appears to be conserved in several Pseudomonas species in addition to Bordetella spp. In both Pseudomonas and Bordetella spp P9 appears to be located upstream of a predicted threonine dehydratase gene. NCBI's taxonomy places the organism in Bacteria, Pseudomonadati, Pseudomonadota, Gammaproteobacteria, Oceanospirillales, Oceanospirillaceae. The record is from Rfam.